CAGUCGCCGCGGUAAUACGAAGGGUGCAAGCGUUACUCGGAAUUACUGGGCGUAAAGCGUGCGUAGGUGGUGGUUUAAGUCCGUUGUGAAAGCCCUGGGCUCAACCUGGGAAUUGCAGUGGAUACUGGGUCACUAGAGUGUGGUAGAGGAUAGUGGAAUUUCCGGUGUAGCAGUGAAAUGCGUAGAGAUCGGAAGGAACAUCUGUGGCGAAGGCGACUAUCUGGGCCAACACUGACACUGAGGCACGAAAGCGUGGGGAGCAAACAGGAUUAGAUUCCCCUGUAGUCCCUGUCUCUUAUAC
This 301-nucleotide ribosomal RNA is filed under the name uncultured bacterium. Its description in RNAcentral is "partial 16S ribosomal RNA". It matches the Rfam family "Bacterial small subunit ribosomal RNA", at positions 509 to 807 of the family's 1533-position model. The record is from RNAcentral.